RNAcentral lists this transfer RNA (67 nucleotides) under Panulirus versicolor (painted spiny lobster). Its description in RNAcentral is "tRNA-Leu". The record is from RNAcentral. Lineage: Eukaryota; Metazoa; Arthropoda; Malacostraca; Decapoda; Palinuridae.
UUCUAAGAUGGCAGAAUAAUGCACAGGAUUUAAGCUCCUGAUAUGGAGAACUUCUCCUCUUAGAAUC